Molecule: long non-coding RNA, 1777 nt
Organism: Dreissena polymorpha
Lineage: Eukaryota; Metazoa; Mollusca; Bivalvia; Myida; Dreissenidae
Exons: 7
Source: RefSeq, a predicted model, not a curated record
GUCGACUAUGGCCACAGUAAAUGACUCUUAAAAUGAGACCAUCGUUCAUUAGUGCAAGUCGAAUAUGGCCACAGUAAAUGACUCUAAAAACGACACCAUCGUACAUAACUGCAAGUCGACUAUGGCCACAGUAAAUGACUCUUAAAAUGUCACCACUGUUUUCAUUACUGCAAGUCGACUAUGGCCACAGUAAAUGAUUCUUAAAAUGACACCAUCGUUCAUUACUGCUAGUCGACUAUGGCCACAGUUAAUGACUCUUAAAAUGACACCACCGUUCAUUACUGGAAGUCGACUAUGGCCACAGUAAAUGACUCUUUAAAUGUCACCACUGUUCAUUACUGCAGUUCGACUAUGGUCACAGUAAAUGACUCUUAAAAUGACACUAUCGUUCAUUACUGCAAGUCGACAAUGGCCACCGUAAAACCAUCGUUCAUUACUGAAAGUCGACUAUGGCCACAGUAAAUGACUCUUAAAGUGAGCAAUGGUAUCAUAGGAUUUCUACAUGUUUUAGUGGUUACAAUAUUGUAAAAGAAAGUCAUAUAUAUUUUACUCUUCAUUGGAUCACAUAAGUUCAUAGGAAUUUGGUCGAAGUUCUAUCGCCAUUUCAUUCCGAUCUCUUUAUAUAUAUUUCAGUGACGUUUUGUGGUUGCUUAACCAUUGCAAAUGUAUUACAAACGUAGACGCGGCACCAAAAAGUUCCAUCGGAUAUGGAUUUUGCGUUUUCGCGUUAGAGGCACUGAAUGUCGUGGAGAAAAACAUCCAAGAUACCUUUUCAGAAAACGGGAACCACCCUUUGGUAAAGCUCGUAGCUAACGAAAAGCUGAAAUCAGCUUUCAAGAAGAACAAAAGACUAGUUUCAUCGUAUACAGAAUCCGUCCUCGUCAAGGAAGCGUGUUCAGUGAUCAUGCACGAGGCGACUGGAUGUAGUUAUAAAGAGGCCACAGAGGCUCUGCAACGAACGGUGGCCAAAAGUUUUUUCACAGCAUAUAGCCUGGCAACAACUCACCGCUCGAGCAUAAAAGAAUAUUGGUCAAGCGCCCUAGCGGAUAGACGUAAAGCCUGGUGAACACAAAGACGCUAACAUCCUGCAGAAAAGUUCAACAUGGCUGACAACACCGUACGGUCGGAAGAUGUGUAAGGACAAAAGUGGGAUCGUUGCAUUACAGACACCGGUUUACUGUUAACUGUUGAGUUAUCGAUUCCUACAGAACUUAAGUGUGCACCACUGCAGUAUGAUGACAUUUAAGUUUUAUAGACUUUCAUGCAAUAGUUACUGUCACACAGCUCCGGACAUUGAAAGUGGAAGGACGGAGAACCACACAGAAACAAUAUCGGCGAAUGAUGAUGUAUAUUUGUUUUAAGUUUCGUGAAAUAGGUACUGUGAAACAGCCCCGGACGUACAACCUUCCUGAAUUUCAAUCUAUUAAGGGGCAAUAAAUUAAUUACGCGUGCACCGCAGUAUGAUUGAACACAUUCAUAUUAAGUUUAAUGAAAUUUAAUAAAUAAUUAUUGAUUAACACCUCCGGACAUCGCCAAAAUAAUAUUCCUUCACUGUCUUAGAGGGGUAAAAAGCCAUCAUAAGGGAGGUGUCAUUUUGUCUACUUACAAGAGUUGGUGCAUUCGGAUUAAAUGCGUAUUCUACAUGCAAUAAUAAAUGCAUGCAAAAAUAAAUAUCUUUCUUGCAACAAGCGUAAAUCUACUGCAAAUCUUAGCAAAACAUUUGCAAACGUAUGUGCGUGUGUAUAGUGACGCAAUCAUACGUUUUUCCAUAGAUAAU